UGGAUCACCUCCUAACAGGGAGACAACAAAAUGUUUAUGUUUAUUAUUUUGUCACCUUAGGUCGAUCGGUAUCUCACGUUUUUAAUUUAUUAAAAACUUUAUUUCCUAAGUUUUUCUAGGUCACACCCAUUAUUUUUCCUGGGCCAUUAGCUCAGGUGGUUAGAGCGCACCCCUGAUAAGGGUGAGGUCCCUGGUUCAAGUCCAGGAUGGCCCAUACCUCUAUGUUGGGGGUAUAGCUCAGUUGGUAGAGCGCCUGCUUUGCAAGCAGGAUGUCAGCGGUUCGAGUCCGCUUACCUCCACUGAUUACCACCUCUUCCAUAAUCUGUAUUAAGGAAAUGUUUUGAGUUGUGAUCAAAUUCUGAACGAAUCUAGCUUCCUAAUGAAAUCAUUAAGAUGCUGGACUCAUUGAUUAAUUUCACUGUUUUCAGAGAACCUUGACAACUGCAUAGAUUUUUUUAAAGACAAUAAGCAUCUUUAGUGAUGCAGAUUUAUUAUUUGUGCGAAUGCAUUAAUAACAAUUCUAUUAAGCUGAUGCUUCAAUUAUGAAGUUAUUGGUCAAGCUACAAAGGGCUCAUGGAGGAUACCUAGGCACACAGAGGCGAUGAAGG
This 608-nucleotide transfer RNA is filed under the name uncultured Prochlorococcus sp. RNAcentral's name for it is "partial contains 16S ribosomal RNA, 16S-23S ribosomal RNA intergenic spacer, and 23S ribosomal RNA". The stretch from base 227 to 299 matches the Rfam family "tRNA". Lineage: Bacteria; Bacillati; Cyanobacteriota; Cyanophyceae; Synechococcales; Prochlorococcaceae. The record is from RNAcentral.